UCCAGACUCCUACGGGAGGCAGCAGUGGGGAAUAUUGCACAAUGGGGGGAACCCUGAUGCAGCGACGCCGCGUGGGUGAAGGAGCACCUCGGUGCGUAAAGCCCUAUCGGCAGGGAAGAAAAGCGAACAGGUUCGCCUGGACGGUACCUGACUAAGAAGCCCCGGCUAACUACGUGCCAGCAGCCGCGGUAAUACGUAGGGGGCAAGCGUUAUCCGGAUUUACUGGGUGUAAAGGGGGCGCAGACGGCGAUGCAAGCCAGGAGUGAAAGCCCGGGGCCCAACCCCGGGACUGCUCUUGGAACUGCGUGGCUGGAGUGCAGGAGGGGCAGGCGGAAUUCCUGGUGUAGCGGUGAAAUGCGUAGAUAUUAGGAGGAACACCAGUGGCGAAGGCGGCCUGCUGGGCUUUUACUGACGCUGAGGCUCGAAAGUGUGGGGAGCAAACAGGAUUAGAUACCCCGGUAUCA
Molecule: ribosomal RNA, 464 nt
Filed under: uncultured bacterium
Lineage: Bacteria
Description: bacterial SSU rRNA
Rfam family: Bacterial small subunit ribosomal RNA
Source: RNAcentral